RNAcentral lists this unclassified non-coding RNA (374 nucleotides) under uncultured Bacteroidales bacterium. RNAcentral describes it as "contains 16S-23S intergenic spacer region". The record is from RNAcentral. Lineage: Bacteria; Pseudomonadati; Bacteroidota; Bacteroidia; Bacteroidales.
UCACAGUUUACACUGGCAGUUUCGUUAGAGUCCCCGGCAUUACCCGAUGGCAACUAACGAUAGGGGUUGCGCUCGUUAUGGGACUUAACCCGACACCUCACGGCACGAGCUGACGACAACCAUGCAGCACCUUGAAGACCGCCCCGAAGGGAAGACACCUUUCAGCGUCGGUCGCUCUCCAUUUAAGCCCAGGUAAGGUUCCUCGCGUAUCAUCGAAUUAAACCACAUGUUCCUCCGCUUGUGCGGGCCCCCGUCAAUUCCUUUGAGUUUCAGCGUUGCCGCCGUACUCCCCAGGUGGAUCACUUAAUGCUUUUGCUUAGCCGCUGACUAUAUAUCGCCAACAGCGAGUGAUCAUCGUUUACAGCGUGGACUAC